GAUGAACGCUGGCGGCGUGCUUAACACAUGCAAGUCGAACGUGAGAAUAGCAAUAUUUGAAAGUGGCAAACGGGUGAGUAACACGUGGGAACCUGCCUCGAAGUGGGGGAUAACGAUUGGAAACGGUCGCUAAUACCGCACGGUUCUGCUCUGAUGGGAAUGGAGCAGAUAAAGAUUUAUCGCUUUGAGAGGGGCCCGCGGCCGAUUAGCUAGUUGGUAAGGUAAAGGCUUACCAAGGCGAUUAUCGGUAGCUGGUCUGAGAGGACGAUCAGCCACACGGGAACUGAGACACGGUCCCGACUCCUACGGGGGGCAGCAGUGAGGAAUAUUGGGCAAUGGGCGAAAGCCUGACCCAGCAACGCCGCGUGGAGGAUGAAGGCUUUAGGGUUGUAAACUCCUUUUGUGGGGGAAAAGAAUGGAUGGUACCCCAAGAAUAAGUCACGGCUAACUACGUGCCAGCAGCCGCGGUAAAGCGUAUGUGUU
RNAcentral lists this ribosomal RNA (483 nucleotides) under uncultured bacterium. RNAcentral describes it as "bacterial SSU rRNA". It matches the Rfam family "Bacterial small subunit ribosomal RNA", at positions 28 to 535 of the family's 1533-position model. The record is from RNAcentral.